RNAcentral lists this ribosomal RNA (419 nucleotides) under bacterium. RNAcentral describes it as "partial 16S ribosomal RNA". It matches the Rfam family "Bacterial small subunit ribosomal RNA", at positions 355 to 776 of the family's 1533-position model. The record is from RNAcentral.
UGGGGGAUAUUGCACAAUGGGCGAAAGCCUGAUGCAGCGACGCCGCGUGGGGGAUGAAGGCCUUCGGGUUAUAAACUUCUUUUGCUCUGAACAAGGCAUGCUAAUGGGUGUGUUGAGUGUAGGGGUUGAUUAGCGCCGGCUAACUACGUGCCAGCAGCCGCGGUAAUACGUAGGGCGCGAGCGUUGUCCGGAAUUAUUGGGCGUAAAGGGCUUGUAGGUGGCUGGUUGCGUCUGUCGUGAAAGCUCAUGGCUUAACUGUGGGUUUGCGGUGGGUACGGGCUGGCUUGAGUGCAGUAGGGGAGGCUGGAAUUCCUGGUGUAGCGGUGGAAUGCGCAGAUAUCAGGAGGAAUACCGGUGGCGAAGGCGGGUCUCUGGGCUGUUACUGACACUGAGGAGCGAAAGCAUGGGGAGCGAACAGG